AGUGAACGCUGGCGGUAGGCCUAACACAUGCAAGUCGAACGGCAGCACAGUAAGAGCUUGCUCUUACUGGUGGCGAGUGGCGGACGGGUGAGGAAUACAUCGGAAUCUACUUUUUCGUGGGGGAUAACGUAGGGAAACAUACGCUAAUACCGCAUACGACCUACGGGUGAAAGCAGGGGAUCUUCGGACCUUGCGCGUUUGAAUGAGACGAUGUCGGAUUAGCUAGUUGGCUGGGUAAGGGCCCACCAAGGCGACGAUCCGUAGCUGGUCUGAGAGGAUGAUCAGCCACACUGGAACUGAGACACGGUCCAGACUCCUACGGGAGGCAGCAGUGGGGAAUAUUGGACAAUGGGCGAAAGCCUGAUCCAGCCAUGCCGCGUGGGUGAAGAAGGCCUUCGGGUUGUAAAGCCCUUUUGUUGGGAAAGAAAAGCAGCAGGUUAAUACCCCGCUGUUCUGACGGUACCCAAAGAAUAAGCACCGGCUAACUUCGUG
This 492-nucleotide ribosomal RNA is filed under the name uncultured bacterium. RNAcentral describes it as "partial 16S ribosomal RNA". It matches the Rfam family "Bacterial small subunit ribosomal RNA", at positions 29 to 507 of the family's 1533-position model. The record is from RNAcentral.